CUGGAACGCGCCCCAGGCGCACCCAGAAACCCUUUGUGAACUUAUACCUUACUGUUGCCUCGGCGCAUGCCGGCCCCCCUGGGGGCCCCUCCUUCGGGAGGAGCAGGCACGCCGGCGGCCAACCCAACUCUUGUUUAUACACUGAAACUCUGAGAAUAAAACAUAAAUGAAUCAAAACUUUCAACAACGGAUCUCUUGGUUCUGGCAUCGAUGAAGAACGCAGCGAAAUGCGAUAAGUAAUGUGAAUUGCAGAAUUCAGUGAAUCAUCGAAUCUUUGAACGCACAUUGCGCCCUCUGGUAUUCCGGAGGGCAUGCCUGUUCGAGCGUCAUUUCAACCCUCAAGCCUGGCUUGGUGAUGGGGCACUGCUUUUACCCAAGGGCAGGCCCUGAAAUUCAGUGGCGAGCUCGCCAGGACCCCGAGCGCAGUAGUUAAACCCUCGCUCUGGAAGGCCCUGGCGGUGCCCUGCCGUUAAACCCCCAACUUCUGAAAAU
RNAcentral lists this ribosomal RNA (492 nucleotides) under Diaporthe sp. Lj015. Its description in RNAcentral is "eukaryotic LSU rRNA". The stretch from base 176 to 329 matches the Rfam family "5.8S ribosomal RNA". The record is from RNAcentral. Lineage: Eukaryota; Fungi; Ascomycota; Sordariomycetes; Diaporthales; Diaporthaceae.